This 200-nucleotide ribosomal RNA is filed under the name Pseudoalteromonas sp. S983. RNAcentral describes it as "partial 16S ribosomal RNA". It matches the Rfam family "Bacterial small subunit ribosomal RNA", at positions 296 to 488 of the family's 1533-position model. The record is from RNAcentral. Lineage: Bacteria; Pseudomonadati; Pseudomonadota; Gammaproteobacteria; Alteromonadales; Pseudoalteromonadaceae.
GAGGAUGAUCAGCCACACUGGAACUGAGACACGGUCCAGACUCCUACGGGAGGCAGCAGUGGGGAAUAUUGCACAAUGGGCGCAAGCCUGAUGCAGCCAUGCCGCGUGUGUGAAGAAGGCCUUCGGGUUGUAAAGCACUUUCAGUCAGGAGGAAAGAUUAGUAGUUAAUACCUGCUAGUUGUGACGUUACUGACAGAAGA